GUGGGGAAUAUUGCACAAUGGGCGGAAGCCUGAUGCAGCAACGCCGCGUGCGGGAUGACGGCCUUCGGGUUGUAAACCGCUUUCGCCUGUGACGAAGCGUGAGUGACGGUAAUGGGUAAAGAAGCACCGGCUAACUACGUGCCAGCAGCCGCGGUGAUACGUAGGGUGCGAGCGUUGUCCGGAUUUAUUGGGCGUAAAGGGCUCGUAGGUGGUUGAUCGCGUCGGAAGUGUAAUCUUGGGGCUUAACCCUGAGCGUGCUUUCGAUACGGGUUGACUUGAGGAAGGUAGGGGAGAAUGGAAUUCCUGGUGGAGCGGUGGAAUGCGCAGAUAUCAGGAGGAACACCAGUGGCGAAGGCGGUUCUCUGGGCCUUUCCUGACGCUGAGGAGCGAAAGCGUGGGGAGCGAACAGGCUUAGAAACCCUGGUAGUCC
This 430-nucleotide ribosomal RNA is filed under the name uncultured Propionibacteriaceae bacterium. RNAcentral's name for it is "bacterial SSU rRNA". It matches the Rfam family "Bacterial small subunit ribosomal RNA", at positions 354 to 796 of the family's 1533-position model. The record is from RNAcentral. Lineage: Bacteria; Bacillati; Actinomycetota; Actinomycetes; Propionibacteriales; Propionibacteriaceae.